UUGCGGGAGAAGAAACCUAAUGGCUGCC
RNAcentral lists this small RNA (28 nucleotides) under Bombyx mori (domestic silkworm). RNAcentral's name for it is "ovarian small RNA-160". The record is from RNAcentral. Lineage: Eukaryota; Metazoa; Arthropoda; Insecta; Lepidoptera; Bombycidae.